GGGUGGUAAUGCCGGAUGUUCCACAUGAUCGCAUGUGAUUGUGGGAAAGAUUCUAUCGGCGUGGGAUGGGGUCGCGUCCUAUCAGCUUGUUGGUGAGGUAACGGCUCACCAAGGCUUCGACGGGUAGCCGGCCUGAGAGGGCGACCGGCCACAUUGGGACUGAGAUACGGCCCAGACUCCUACGGGAGGCAGCAGUGGGGAAUAUUGCACAAUGGGCGCAAGCCUGAUGCAGCGACGCCGCGUGAGGGAUGGAGGCCUUCGGGUUGUAAACCUCUUUUGUUUGGGAGCAAGCCUUCGGGUGAGUGUACCUUUCGAAUAAGCGCCGGCUAACUACGUGCCAGCAGCCGCGGUAAUACGUAGGGCGCAAGCGUUAUCCGGAUUUAUUGGGCGUAAAGGGCUCGUAGGCGGCUCGUCGCGUCCGGUGUGAAAGUCCAUCGCUUAACGGUGGAUCUGCGCCGGGUACGGGCGGGCUGGAGUGCGGUAGGGGAGACUGGAAUUCCCGGUGUAACGGUGGAAUGUGUAGAUAUCGGGAAAGAAACACCA
Molecule: ribosomal RNA, 543 nt
Filed under: Bifidobacterium bifidum
Lineage: Bacteria; Bacillati; Actinomycetota; Actinomycetes; Bifidobacteriales; Bifidobacteriaceae
Description: bacterial SSU rRNA
Rfam family: Bacterial small subunit ribosomal RNA
Source: RNAcentral